RNAcentral lists this long non-coding RNA (1523 nucleotides) under Salmo salar (Atlantic salmon). RNAcentral's name for it is "lncRNA (ENSSSAG00000116590.1)". The record is from RNAcentral. Lineage: Eukaryota; Metazoa; Chordata; Actinopteri; Salmoniformes; Salmonidae.
CAGGUUUAAAAAUAUAUACUUGUUUAUUGAUUUUAAAGAAAGGCAUUGAUGUUUAUGGUUAGGUACAUUGGUGCAACGACAGUGCUUUUUUCACAAAUGCGCUUAUUAAAUCAUCCGUUUGGCAAAGUAGGCUGUGAUUCAAUGAGAAAUGAACAGGCACCGCAUCGAUUAUAUGCAACGCAGGACACGUUAGAUAAACUAGUAAUAUCAUCAACCAUGUGUAGUUAACUAGUGAUUAUGUUAAGAUUGAUAGUUUUUUAUAAGAUAAGUUUAAUGCUAGCUAGCAACUUACCUUGGCUUCUUGCUGCCCUCACGUAACAGCUAGUCAGCCUGCCAUGCAGGCUCCUCGUGCGUUGGAUUGGAUUAGUAACCGGAAGGUUGCAAAAACGAAUCCCUCCCUGAACAACGCAGGGGGGAUUCGUGACGGCCCCGUUCCUAGGCUGUCAUUGAAAAUAAUAAUGUGUUCUUAAUCUGACUUGCCUAGUUAAAUAAAGGUGUACAUUUUUUUUUUUAAAUGUCCCCCCCCAGAAAAAUAAAAUAAAAAUACAAACCUGCGGCCAAAAAUACCGAUUACCGAUUGUUAUGAAAACUUGAAAUCGGCCCUAAUUAAUCGGCCAUUCCGAUUAAUCGGUCGACCUCUACUCUCCAUCCUCAUCUCUCUCCAUCCUCAUCUUUUUCUCCUUUAAGACAGCAAGUUUUGAAAUGAUUUAACAGAAAUGGCAGUGUCAGUCAGUCACUUGUUGUCCCCCCUCUUCUUCUUCUUCUUGCAUUUAGUAUUUUCUUCUCUUCCUCCUGGGUGUAGAGAGAGCAGAGAGAGACCGUCUUCCUCCUGGGUGUAGAGAGAGCAGAGAGACCGUCUUCCUCCUGGGUGCAGAGAGAGCAGAGAGAGACCGUCUUCCUCCUGGGUGCAGAGAGAGCAGAGAGAGACCGUCUUCCUCCUGGGUGCAGAGAGAGACCGUCUUCCUCCUGGGUGCAGAGAGAGACCGUCUUCCUCCUGGGUGCAGAGAGAGCAGAGAGACCGUCUUCCUCCUGGGUGCAGAGAGAGCAGAGAGAGACCGUCUUCCUCCUGGGUGCAGAGAGAGACCGUUUUCCUCCUGGGUGCAGAGAGAGACCGUUUUCCUCCUGGGUGCAGGGAGAGACCAGAGAGACCGUCUUCCUCCUGGGUGCAGGGAGAGACCGUCUUCCUCCUGGGUGCAGAGAGAGCAGAGAGAGACCGUCUUCCUCCUGGGUGUAGAGAGAGCAGAGAGAGACCGUCUUCCUCCAGGGUGCAGAGAGAGCAGAGAGAGACCGUCUUCCUCCGGGGUGCAGAGAGAGACCAUCCAGACGGUAUGGGUUUCACUAGACAAUCAGCAUGUUUUAGCAAAUAGGCUUGUUGCAAAACAGCAUAAUCACGUCUUUAUCAUAAGGUUGCAAAAUCUUCGGGUUAUUCAGAAUUCCCAGAUUUUCUACUUAUUUCCUUCCAGAUUCCAGGAUCCCCCGACUGGGAUUUCUAGGAAACCUUGGAAUUUUGGGAAAGUUUCCCG